GGCGAACGGGUGAGUAACACGUGGGCAACCUGCCCAAAAGAGGGGGAUAACACUUGGAAACAGGUGCUAAUACCGCAUAACCAUAGUUACCGCAUGGUAACUAUGUAAAAGGUGGCUAUGCUACCGCUUUUGGAUGGGCCCGCGGCGCAUUAGCUAGUUGGUGGGGUAAAGGCUUACCAAGGCAAUGAUGCGUAGCCGAACUGAGAGGUUGAUCGGCCACAUUGGGACUGAGACACGGCCCAAACUCCUACGGGAGGCAGCAGUAGGGAAUCUUCCACAAUGGGCGAAAGCCUGAUGGAGCAACGCCGCGUGGGUGAAGAAGGUCUUCGGAUCGUAAAACCCUGUUGUUAGAGAAGAAAGUGCGUGAGAGUAACUGUUCACGUUUCGACGGUAUCUAACCAGAAAGCCACGGCUAACUACGUGCCAGCAGCCGCGGUAAUACAUAGGUGGCAAGCGUUAUCCGGAUUUAUUGGGCGUAAAGGGAACGCAGGCGGUCUUUUAAGUCUGAUGUGAAAGCCUUCGGCUUAACCGGAGUAGUGCAUUGGAAACUGGGAGACUUGAGUGCAGAAGAGGAGAGUGGAACUCCAUGUGUAGCGGUGAAAUGCGUAGAUAUAUGGAAGAACACCAGUGGCGAAAGCGGCUCUCUGGUCUGUAACUGACGCUGAGGUUCGAAAGCGUGGGUAGCAAACAGGAUUAGAUACCCUGNUAGUCCACGCCGUAAACGAUGAAUGCUA
RNAcentral lists this ribosomal RNA (734 nucleotides) under uncultured bacterium. Its description in RNAcentral is "bacterial SSU rRNA". It matches the Rfam family "Bacterial small subunit ribosomal RNA", at positions 97 to 818 of the family's 1533-position model. The record is from RNAcentral.